UGGGGAAUAUUGCACAAUGGGCGCAAGCCUGAUGCAGCCAUGCCGCGUGUGUGAAGAAGGCCUUCGGGUUGUAAAGCACUUUCAGCGAGGAGGAAGGUGGUGAGCUUAAUACGCUCAUCAAUUGACGUUACUCGCAGAAGAAGCACCGGCUAACUCCGUGCCAGCAGCCGCGGUAAUACGGAGGGUGCAAGCGUUAAUCGGAAUUACUGGGCGUAAAGCGCACGCAGGCGGUUUGUUAAGUCAGAUGUGAAAUCCCCGGGCUCAACCUGGGAACUGCAUUUGAAACUGGCAAGCUAGAGUCUCGUAGAGGGGGGUAGAAUUCCAGGUGUAGCGGUGAAAUGCGUAGAGAUCUGGAGGAAUACCGGUGGCGAAGGCGGCCCCCUGGACGAAGACUGACGCUCAGGUGCGAAAGCGUGGGGCAGCAAACAGGAUUAGAUACCCUGGUAGUCCACGCUGUAAAACGAUGUCGAUUUGGAGGUUGUGCCCUUGAGGCGUGGCUUCCGGAGCUAACGCGUUAAAUCGACCG
RNAcentral lists this ribosomal RNA (526 nucleotides) under uncultured bacterium. RNAcentral describes it as "partial 16S ribosomal RNA". It matches the Rfam family "Bacterial small subunit ribosomal RNA", at positions 355 to 871 of the family's 1533-position model. The record is from RNAcentral.